Molecule: ribosomal RNA, 273 nt
Filed under: uncultured bacterium
Lineage: Bacteria
Description: partial 16S ribosomal RNA
Rfam family: Bacterial small subunit ribosomal RNA
Source: RNAcentral
ACUCCUACGGGAGGCAGCAGUGGGAAUAUUGCACAAUGGGAAAGCCAUCGAUGCAGCCAUGCCGCGUGUGUGAAGAAGGCCUUCGGGUUGUAAAGACACUUUCAGUAGGGAGGAAGGUAGUGUAGUUAACACCUGCACUAUUUGACGUUACCUACAGAAGAAGCACCGGCUAACUCCGUGCCAGCAGCCGCGGUAAUACGGAGGGUGCGAGCGUUAAUCGGAAUUACUGGGCGUAAAGCGCAUGCAGGCGGCCUGUUAAGUCAGAUGUGAAAG